UUGAACCUUACCAUAUUACUCGUGAUAAUAUCUUAGAAAACGAUUGAUAAAAUCACUCAGUAAAAGGCCAAACUCCUUCUUAUUUAGAUCUCGGACUAUGGUUUCAUCAUCUUGCAACGGCGAAAAGUAUCUUUACAUAUCUAGCCCCUUUCUCUAGGUGUGUUUGAAAUUCCACUUUUCUAUGUAUAGCAAUGCUAAUCUCACGAUGAAUUAUCCUAUGUGACCUUUAGCUUGAAUACAAAAAAUAUAACCCUCCUUUUCAAAAUACCCGAUUCGUUAAUCCAAAUUUUACACGGCUAAAGGCACCCAAGUCUAGAAAAGGGAAAACAAAAGUAAGAAUUUUGAACUUCCCACUUACCAACCAAAUACAUAAACCUUUGAGUUAAGUUUUGUGCAUAUAAGCUUGAUAUUUUACUUCUGAAUAGAGUAAUAACCUGCUAUUACAGGUUAAAUUGAACUGACUGGUGCACAAAAGAAAAAAACUAUGCACUACCACGGUAUAUAACUUAAAUCCUAAAAUUUUCCCUCUAUUUUUUAUUCCAAAAAUAAGGUGAAGCUAACAACUGCCACUUUCAAACGAGAAAUAAAUUCAGAAAAAUUAGGAAAACAACAAAAAGCUGAAAGGUAAAAACUUUCUGCAAAACACUCUACACCACCAACAACAACAACAACUCAUUAUAAUCCCACUUAGUGAAGUCUGGGAAGGGUAGUGUGUACGUAGACCUUACCCCUACCCUUGGGUAGAGAGGCUGUUUCCACCUUUUUAAUCCAUUGUCUUUAACCCAAUUUAGUAAAUUUACUAUGGCAUUUAUCAACAACAACAACACAGUAUAAUUCUAUUUAGUGGGGUUUGGGGAGGGUAGUGUGUACGCAGACCUUACCCCUACCCUGAGGUAGAGAUGCUGUUUCCAAAUAGAAACCGGCAUCCUUCCCUCCAAGAACUUCCCACCUUGCUCUUAGGGAGACUCGAACUCACAACCUCUCGGUUGGAAGUAGGGGUUGCAGAACAUUCUACACCAACUUGCUAAAAAAUGUUCCAAGAAAAAAAAACAGAUUAUCACAGUAAAGUCAUUUUUCUCAAAGGCAACCAAGAACAAAGUAGCAACAACAACGACGACAACCCAGUAUAAUUCCACAAGUAUAUAUUAGAAGAUAUACUACGUAACAGUUACUUAGAAAGAGACUCUCUGUCUUUUCGGAUAGGGGUAAGGCUCGUCUACAUAUUACCCUUCUCAGACCCCACUUUGUGAGACUAUACUGGGUAGUUGUUUACUACGUAACAGUUACAAGUUUGAACAAAGCAAGAAGCU
This 1310-nucleotide long non-coding RNA is filed under the name Nicotiana benthamiana. RNAcentral describes it as "long non-coding RNA (NBEN_LNC021567)". The record is from RNAcentral. Lineage: Eukaryota; Viridiplantae; Streptophyta; Magnoliopsida; Solanales; Solanaceae.